This 301-nucleotide ribosomal RNA is filed under the name uncultured bacterium. RNAcentral describes it as "partial 16S ribosomal RNA". It matches the Rfam family "Bacterial small subunit ribosomal RNA", at positions 509 to 807 of the family's 1533-position model. The record is from RNAcentral.
CAGCAGCCGCGGUAAUACGAAGGGUGCAAGCGUUGAUCGGAAUUACUGGGCGUAAAGCGUGCGUAGGCGGUGAGUUAAGUCUGCUGUGAAAUCCCCGGGCUCAACCUGGGAAUGGCAGUGGAUACUGGCUCGCUAGAGUGUGUCAGAGGAUGGUGGAAUUCCCGGUGUAGCGGUGAAAUGCGUAGAGAUCGGGAGGAACAUCAGUGGCGAAGGCGGCCAUCUGGGACAACACUGACGCUGAGGCACGAAAGCGUGGGGAGCAAACAGGAUUAGAUACCCCCGUAGUCCCUGUCUCUUAUAC